Acanthochromis polyacanthus (spiny chromis) is the source of this 221-nucleotide long non-coding RNA. RefSeq lists it as uncharacterized. Lineage: Eukaryota; Metazoa; Chordata; Actinopteri; Pomacentridae. The transcript is spliced from 3 exons. The record is from RefSeq and is a predicted model, not a curated record.
UUCUGUGGGAAUCUUGGAGAAAACGGCAUCUUUGGGCUGUGUUGCCAGAAGAGUAUAUUCUGUCAAGGGUCCCCACUCGCUGGUUCAUGUGGACACAAACCACAAACUGAUCAGAUAUGGUAUUGUUAUCUUUGCCGGGAUUGAUGGCUAUUCACGAAAGAUAAUGUACCUGAGUGCAGCUAACAAUAACAAGGCAUCAACUGCUCUUGACUUCUUCAUGG